CUGCCUCUCUGAGCUGGUUUCAUCUCAAAAUACUUUGGCUUCUGUCACUUUGAAUGACAGUUGAACCAAAAAUGUUUGCUCUUGGUAAAAUGGAGGUGUCCUCUGUGAAAUAAAUCUGGCAAAAAAGAAAUCUGGCAAACUAGAGCAAAUGACUGCAAUCUCAUCCUCGGGUUUUGUGAGAAAAUUUGAUGUCUCCUGAUGGGAAAAUUUCCUGAAACACAAUAUACUUACUUAACAAAGGUUUA
Suricata suricatta (meerkat) is the source of this 245-nucleotide long non-coding RNA. RefSeq lists it as uncharacterized. Lineage: Eukaryota; Metazoa; Chordata; Mammalia; Carnivora; Herpestidae. The transcript is spliced from 2 exons. The record is from RefSeq and is a predicted model, not a curated record.